AUAAGGUUAAGUUAAUAAGGGCGCACGGUGGAUGCCUUGGCACUAGAAGCCGAAGAAGGACGUGACUAACGACGAAAUGCUUUGGGGAGCUGUAAGUAAGCGC
Molecule: ribosomal RNA, 103 nt
Filed under: Streptococcus agalactiae
Lineage: Bacteria; Bacillati; Bacillota; Bacilli; Lactobacillales; Streptococcaceae
Description: partial 23S ribosomal RNA
Rfam family: Bacterial large subunit ribosomal RNA
Source: RNAcentral